RNAcentral lists this ribosomal RNA (339 nucleotides) under Rana temporaria (common frog). RNAcentral's name for it is "partial 16S ribosomal RNA". The record is from RNAcentral. Lineage: Eukaryota; Metazoa; Chordata; Amphibia; Anura; Ranidae.
CUAAAAGCAGCCACCUUUAAAAAAGCGUCAAAGCUUAACCACUCCCUACUCACAAUACCUUAAAUUUUCACUAACCCCUCACUAUUACUGAAUAAUUUUAUAAUUAUAUAAAAGCUAUCAUGCUAGAACUAGUAACAAGAAAUUGCCUUUCUCCUAAAUGUAAACAUAAACCAAAAUAGACUAUCUAUUGGUUAUUAACGUAAAUGCCAAAUUAUAGCAACAUCCUCCAGAAAAUCCUAUAGCCCCCAACGUUAACCUUACACUAGAACAUUUCAGGAAAGAUUUAAAGAAAAAGAAGGAACUCGGCAAAUUUUAGCCUCGCCUGUUUACCAAAAACAU